GAUGAACGCUAGCUACAGGCUUAACACAUGCAAGUCGAGGGGCAGCGCAGUGUAGCAAUACAUGGGCGGCGACCGGCGCACGGGUGCGUAACGCGUAUCCAACCUUCCCGUUACUCUUGGAUAGCCUUCCGAAAGGGAGAUUAAUACAAGAUGGUAUUCAAAUUCCGCAUGUUAUUUGAAUUAAAGAUUUAUCGGUAACGGAUGGGGAUGCGUGACAUUAGAUAGUAGGCGGGGUAACGGCCCACCUAGUCUACGAUGUCUAGGGGUUCUGAGAGGAAGGUCCCCCACACUGGAACUGAGACACGGUCCAGACUCCUACGGGAGGCAGCAGUGAGGAAUAUUGGUCAAUGGUCGGAAGACUGAACCAGCCAAGUAGCGUGAAGGAUGAAAGGUUCUAUGGAUUGUAAACUUCUUUUAUACGGGAAUAAAACACCUUACGUGUAGGGUCUUGUAUGUACCGUAUGAAUAAGCAUCGGCUAACUCCGUG
Molecule: ribosomal RNA, 487 nt
Filed under: uncultured bacterium
Lineage: Bacteria
Description: bacterial SSU rRNA
Rfam family: Bacterial small subunit ribosomal RNA
Source: RNAcentral